UCAUUUAACGUGUAGGAACUUAGUUUUGC
This 29-nucleotide small RNA is filed under the name Bombyx mori (domestic silkworm). RNAcentral describes it as "ovarian small RNA-26385". The record is from RNAcentral. Lineage: Eukaryota; Metazoa; Arthropoda; Insecta; Lepidoptera; Bombycidae.